Molecule: long non-coding RNA, 4235 nt
Filed under: Marmota monax (woodchuck)
Lineage: Eukaryota; Metazoa; Chordata; Mammalia; Rodentia; Sciuridae
Source: RNAcentral
AGGGCCCCCACUCCCUUUCCAGGUCCAGCUACGGCUCCGAGCCCCAGUCUGUGCGUCGCUCCCCCUGCACAUCUGGUCGUGCUCCCAGCAGGAACUCGGCAGCACGUCCAUCAGCAGGUAGGGCGGACCCAGGAGGCAUCCUAUUUCAGGACUCUGGACCCCUGGCCAGCCCAGUGUGGGUCCCUUCAAGAGUCCUGCCCAGCUUCCAGGCACCCAGUGGCUCCACGCAUCCCACAGAGGUCGGAGCUGCAGGAACACAGAAAGUCCAGUGGAGAAGACAUCUUGCCCGGCUUCCAGAGAGGACGAUCACAAAUGAUCAGAGGGAGAGGGAGCAUGCAUGAUUAAGGCUCCCACAGCGAGGCUCCUGAACUGUCUGCCUGAUUUAAGAACUAAUGACUCGGAGAGUCCUCACAGCCAGGGAGAUGCUGCGUGUCACCCACAACUGGCCGCCUCCUCCCGGGGCACCAGAGGCACGGGCAGCCGGCUCAUCAAUCAGUCCUGGCACAUAGAAAACUGCCACAGCAUCUCCAUCCUGCUGACUAAUAACUUCAUCAGAGCCCUGUCCCAGGGGAAAUGUAAGUCCCCAAGGGGAAAGGGCCAGGUGGAGGAGCCUGCCCAGGACCCCUCCUGGGGAUACCUGGGAUGCUCAGGAGCAGAGUCACUGGACCAGCUGCCGCCCAGAAUCAAGACUUUGUCCAGACUUUGCAUCCCCAUGACGGAGGCUGUGGAUGCGCCCACACCUCCAGUUCCGUCAUUUGACAGAUUUAGUUUUGGUACCUGGAUUGACCAGGGUUGCUUUGUCCCUGAGCUCCAUCCUCAGCAUUUUCACUUUGAGACAGGUCUUAUUAAGUUGCUGAGACUGGCCUUAGUUUCAAUCCUCCUGCCUCAGCCUCCUGGGUCACUGGGAUUACAGGGGAGCACGCCACCAUGUCCAGAUCCAGUAGAUGAUUUUUACAGUUCCCAUUUCUCCGCAGAAAGUCCUAUCUGUUCACAUAUCUUGGCAACCGUUCCCUUCACCGGGUCUGUUCACAUCUUCAUUUUAGUUGAUUCAAAGACCUCAUCUAAUAAUUCCAACAUCUCCGCCAUUGGUGGAUCUACUUCUAUUAACGAUUUUUCUCCUGAUCAGGGGGCAUGUUUUUCCUGCUUCUUUGCAACUUUUUAAAAUGUAUGCCAAGCAUGAUGCUUUUUUUUUUUUUAAAGCAGUGUGUAAAAUAAAUACAUUUCCUGGAGAAAGAAGACGCCUUCCUGUCUCAGGCCACCACGUGGGUCUGAUGGGUUGGCCCUGGGCUUUGGUGAAGUCUUCCACCCACUUCAUCAGGUCUUCCCUGAAUCAAGUGCUUUGGAGAGAAGAGGAUUGCGUGAAUCGCCUCGCACGUGUCUCUGCCAGAAGGGUGGGUGUGGUGUCGGAGGGCACGGAGGAUGUGAACACGGGACGUGGAGGUCAGCGCUGCUAGGCAAGGUGGCACUGCAGACGUGCAGGCGCGGGCGGUGACUGACCAGAGAUGGAGUGUUGAUCCUCGAGGCUCCAGCUGCUGUGUCGCUGAAGACAGCAGUUCUCACCAUCUCAGGAUGGACGCUCUGCCUCCAGCUCACCUCUUCAGUGACUUGGGGCGGGGGAGGGUCUCAGGACUCCAGAUCAAUCAGCCACAGGCCACUUGCUGCUUCCUCGGAUCCACGAUGCUGGCAUCCCGUCCUGCUUCCAGCCACAGCAGGCAGAGCCCGGCGGCCAGGGGCGCUCACCUUAGAAAGCAGAAGCCCCCUGCUCCUGGCCCGGCUCUCUGGAUCCUGGCCCCCACCGCGAGCCCCCUCUGCUGCCUGCCAGACUUCCCGCAGAACUUUCUGGCUUUUGUCAGCUUGAGGCAGGCCUAGGAAGUCGUGGGAGCUGAGAGGGUGUGUAUCUCAUAAAGGCGAAGCUCUGUAAUUUAGCAAUUACUGGAACCCACACUUGUAAUUUAGGGGGUUUCUUGUAAUUCUUCUUUGUACUCUUUCUCUCUCUUUCAACAAAUAUGCAGUUUAAUAGCUUCUUCUCCUGUGCUCUGAAGGCUGGCAUGUGCCGACCCUCCCCCAGCCAGCCGUGGAGCACAGGGAAGUAUGUACCCUGGGUGGGGACUUCAGGACCCGAAGGGCUAGUCUAGUGUCCCACAUCUCCAGAGAGAAACUGUUGGCUUCUUGCAGUCGCGCAGAGCUCAGGGCUCUGAUUCCCCCACUGGUUUGCCUGUCAGGAUGGGCUGCAGCCUUGGAUGGGAGGCGGCCCCUCCCCGGUUCUGGGGUUCCCCCAGCCCCUGGCUGCUCCCGGGGCACGCAGGUGAGUUUUACUUCUCCAUCUUCAUCCUCAGGUACUGUGACCAGUAACUUGUUUGUUCACUUAAGAUGUCUUGUUUGUUUGAUUUUGAGAUCCUCUGUGGACAGGCACUAUGCCCCCCAGGGAGCCUAAGCCCAGAAACACAGACGGACUCUCUCAAGGAGAUGGCAGCCUGCUGGGGAAGACGUGACCGUGUGGUCACUAGAUCAGGCGUCGCUACUGUGGCGCUGUGGGCACUGAGGGCCAGGGAUGCCGAGGACAGCGCAGAACCCGUCGGACAGAGCUGCCCCCGGAGAGCAGGCAGCCAGGUGCAGAGGAGGGAAGAAGUUGCAGAGACAAAGCCCAGGGAGGAGGGACCACAAACACCCAGGGCUGGAAUGUUCUAGAAGCUGUGCUUAAAUUAUGGCCAGAUGGGAACAAAUUCAAAUGUUCACCAGUAGAGGAUUUGGAUAUAUUCACACAACGGAAUUCUAGCAAGUAAAAGUGAACUAUAGACACACAGGCAUGAUUCGCGUUCUCUUUCUCUUUUAGUACUGAGACUCGAACCCAGGGGCACUCCACCACUGAGCUACACCCCCAGCCCUUUUAAUUUGUAUUUUGAGGCAGGGUCUCACCCAGUUGCCCACGCUGGCCUCAAACUCACGAUCCUCCUGCCUCAGCCUCCUGAGCCGUGGGAUUCCAGGGAUUCGCAGUGGCUGAGCUCCGGUGACCGAGGCUGGAGAUCCGCCCUGGUUCCCCCUGCCCCACCCUGCCACUUCCCGGCUCUGUCCGUCCGUCCCCUGUGUCCUGUUGGGAUUGAAUCUCCACUGCCGGGUGGUUUGGGGGACUUGGGAGAAGCACAUUUAAUCUCAGCUCUGCGGGUGGAACUGUUUGGGUCUUACUUUCCUCUUGGUACGUUUCAGCUCUUAGGGGGAGAGGCAUCUUGGAGUCAGUGACAACUUCUGAGGCUCCUGUUCCUGAUGACCUGGUUUACUAGGUCACUGUUGCCAUGUCUUUCUAGACUCUCGGACUGAAUGGUAAAAUCAUGCCCCAUUCUGUCUUCUGGGUGACUAGUCGCAGUUGACAUUUGCCCGUCUUCCCCAUGCCAGCAGGUGGUGAGCCCCUUCCUGCCAGCCUCCGCUGGGCUCUGGUGCCCGCUGCUCCGUCUUUCCCAGGAUGGCUGCGCAGCCCCGGCCAAUCAGCGGGACGUCCUCUUUCCUCUCUCCUGGGUUGGGUGCCUUUUUCCUAGAUCCAGCGCCUUCCAGUGGCUUCCCGACAAGUCUUGAGACUGCCCACAGAGCCUUGAGCUCUGUCCUUGGACUGGACGUGGGAUUCUGCUUGGAAUAGCUUCUCUGGGAAUGUGGACGGCCGGCUUUGUCAUUUCUCCUUUCUCCUUUCCUGGUGACGUCUGGUCCACCCCCUUCCUCUCUAGUCCUGGAAUUCGACGUGGUCAUCACGAUGCACCUCCGUGUGGUCACUGGAAUCCACUUUGCUGGGCCCUUGGUAGCCCUUUUCCUUGUGAAGUGGUCCACGCGGAUCUGACUGUCGCCUUAGAUGGCGGUAGCCGACGCAGGAAGGAGGUGCCAGCUGCCCCUCACACUGGGCCCCCAGACUCAAUGACCACAGACUUAGAAAAACUCCCACGUGUGCAAAUUCCUGUUGGACCAACAUGUGCUCCAAGGGCACAAGAGCCUCAGGAAGCCCCAGCGACUGUCUGUCAGUCUCCAGCUUCCCAGUGUGCACGGCUUCCAGAACCUGCCAGAGUGGGGCUCUGGGCUCUGGGGCCAGUGGUCAGUGCUGUGAAGACACUGGCCGCACUCGGCCCGUAGGGACAGCAUCAGGCACAGUUCCUAAGGGUACAGAUGACAAUCCUGGCUGGUCACUCGAACGGGGAGUCUGUUAUCAGAGUCAGCCUUCGAUGUAUCUUGAUUAACUUUCAUUUUGGCAGUGAGAG